ACAAACUUGGUCAUUUAGAGGAAGUAAAAGUCGUAACAAGGUUUCCGUAGGUGAACCUGCGGAAGGAUCAUUAAUGAGUUUUGAAGGCGGGGGCCUGCUGCUGGUGCAGAAAUGCGCAUGUGCACGGCUCCUGUGCUCAAUCUACUCCAACUCCUGUGCACCUUUGCAGAGCGAGUAGGCUCGUACUUCUUUGUUGAAGUGUUUAGUAGCUGGUAAGGCGAGCGUGCGCAAGCGCGAGUAGCUUGAAGGUGAAAGGACUUCUUCUCGUUUGAAGUGUCAAGUUAGUGAUUAAGGCGAACGUGCGUGAGCAUUAGUAGCUUGAAAGCUAAAGGGAUACAUCAUUUAGAGAGAGAGGUGCGGACGAAAGCUUUGAUGUUUAUUAACUCUUUGUAUGUCUUGUGGAUGUUGGUUGCUCCUUGUGAGCGAAAUAAAUACAACUUUCAACAACGGAUCUCUUGGCUCUCGCAUCGAUGAAGAACGCAGC
This 484-nucleotide unclassified non-coding RNA is filed under the name uncultured fungus. RNAcentral's name for it is "partial contains small subunit ribosomal RNA, internal transcribed spacer 1, and 5.8S ribosomal RNA". The stretch from base 1 to 73 matches the Rfam family "Eukaryotic small subunit ribosomal RNA", at positions 1759 to 1831 of the family's 1831-position model. The record is from RNAcentral. Lineage: Eukaryota; Fungi.